AUUGAACGCUGGCGGAAUGCUUUACACAUGCAAGUCGAACGGCAGCACGGACUUCGGUCUGGUGGCGAGUGGCGAACGGGUGAGUAAUGUAUCGGAACGUGCCCAGUCGUGGGGGAUAACGUAGUGAAAAUUACGCUAAUACCGCAUACGAUCUAUGGAUGAAAGCGGGGGAUCGCAAGACCUCGCGCGAUUGGAGCGGCCGAUAUCAGAUUAGGUAGUUGGUGGGGUAAAGGCCCACCAAGCCAACGAUCUGUAGCUGGUCUGAGAAGACGACCAGCCGCACUGGAACUGAGACACGGUCCAGACUCCUACGGGAGGCAGCAGUGGGGAAUUUUGGACAAUGGGCGAAAGCCUGAUCCAGCCAUUCCGCGUGCAGGAUGAAGGCCCUCGGGUUGCAAACUGCUUUUGUACAGAACGAAAAGGUUUCUACUAAUACUAGGAGCUCAUGACGGUACUGUAAGAAUAAGCACCGGCUAACUACGUGCCAGCCGCCGCCGUAA
This 500-nucleotide ribosomal RNA is filed under the name uncultured bacterium. RNAcentral describes it as "partial 16S ribosomal RNA". It matches the Rfam family "Bacterial small subunit ribosomal RNA", at positions 30 to 523 of the family's 1533-position model. The record is from RNAcentral.